UGGUAUGCACUGGCUCGCUGACUCCUCCUUCUUGUAGAACCGUAAUGCCAUUAAUUUGGUGUUGCGGGGAAACAGGACUGUUACUUUGAAAAAAUUAGAGUGUUUAAAGCAGGCCAACGCCUGAAUACAUUAGCAUGGAAUAAUGAAAUAGGACGUUCGAACCUAUUUUGUUGGUUUCUAGGAUUGACGUAAUGAUUAAUAGGGAUAGUUGGGGGCAUUAGUAUUCAAUUGUCAGAGGUGAAAUACUUGGAUUUAUUGAAGACUGACUACUGCGAAAGCAUUUGCCAAGGAUGUUUUCAUUAAUCAAGAACGAAAGUUAGGGGAUCGAAGACGAUCAGAUACCGUCGUAGUCUUAACCAUAAACUAUGCCGACUAGGGAUCGGAUGAUGUUAAUUUUUUAAUGACUCAUUCGGCGCCUUACG
Molecule: ribosomal RNA, 422 nt
Filed under: uncultured Glomeromycotina
Lineage: Eukaryota; Fungi; Glomeromycota
Description: SSU rRNA
Rfam family: Eukaryotic small subunit ribosomal RNA
Source: RNAcentral